GACGAACGCUGGCGGCGUGCUUAACACAUGCAAGUCGAACGAAGAGCGAUGGAAGCUUGCUUCUAUCAAUCUUAGUGGCGAACGGGUGAGUAACGCGUAAUCAACCUGCCCUUCAGAGAGGGACAACAGUUGGAAACGACUGCUAAUACCGCAUACGAUCUAAUCUCGGCAUCGAGGAUAGAUGAAAGGUGGCCUCUACAUGUAAGCUAUCACUGAAGGAGGGGAUUGCGUCUGAUCAGCUAGUUGGAGGGGUAACGGCCCACCAAGGCGAUGAUCAGUAGCCGGUCUGAGAGGAUGAACGGCCACAUUGGGACUGAGACACGGCCCAGACUCCUACGGGAGGCAGCAGUGGGGAAUCUUCCGCAAUGGACGAAAGUCUGACGGAGCAACGCCGCGUGAGCGAUGACGGCCUUCGGGUUGUAAAGCUCUGUUAAUCGGGACGAAAGGCCUUCUUGCGAAUAGUGAGAAGGAUUGACGGUACCGGAAUAGAAAGCCACGGCUAACUACGUG
RNAcentral lists this ribosomal RNA (510 nucleotides) under uncultured bacterium. RNAcentral's name for it is "partial 16S ribosomal RNA". It matches the Rfam family "Bacterial small subunit ribosomal RNA", at positions 28 to 507 of the family's 1533-position model. The record is from RNAcentral.